GGCUUAUUGUAUAUUUAUAUUAAGUCUUACCUGCUCAAUGAUAUUAAAUUAUUAAAUAGCCGCAGUAUUUUGACUGUGCAAAGGUAGCAUAAUCAUUUGUCUUUUAAUUGGGGACUUGUAUGAAUGGUUUGAUGAAAUAUUAACUUUAUUUAUAUAAAUACAAUUAAUUUAAUUUUUAAGUUAAAAAGCUUAAAUAUUUUUGUAGGACGAGAAGACCCUAUAGAAUUUUAUAUUUGUAAUAUAUAAUAUGUUAUUGGUUUUUAUUAAUAAAUAUAUAUUAAAAUAUUUUGUUGGGGUGACAGGGAAAUUUUUUUAACUUUCUUUAUAUUUUAUUUAUUUAUUUAUAUAUUAAUGAUCCUAUUUUAAGGAUAAUAAGAUUAAAUUACCUUAGGGAUAACAGCGUAAUUCUUUUGGAGAGUUCUUAUCGAUAAAGGAGUUUGCGACCUCGAUGUUGGAUUAAAAUAAGUAUUUAAGUGUAGGUGCUUAAUUACUAGGUCUGUUCGACCUUUAAAUUUUUACA
RNAcentral lists this ribosomal RNA (520 nucleotides) under Lanopis rugosus. RNAcentral's name for it is "partial 16S rRNA". The stretch from base 393 to 520 matches the Rfam family "Bacterial large subunit ribosomal RNA", at positions 2473 to 2600 of the family's 2925-position model. The record is from RNAcentral. Lineage: Eukaryota; Metazoa; Arthropoda; Insecta; Hemiptera; Acanthosomatidae.